GCGGGAGGCUGGGCCCACAGCAGACAGGCCAAGCUUUAGAGGCCUAGGAGCAGGAGAACCGGACUUUAGGCUUUUUAGGUCCUCAGCUUUUCCUUCUCAACUUUAUCCCACAGGCACUCAGCUCACUUUUUCAGCUCCCUGUGAGUAGGAAAGGGCUGUGUUCUUCAGCACCACACGGCCAUGGGCCUUGGGGCAAAGCUUUCCACACAUCCAGGCAGCUGCUGAGGAAGUUUAGACACCUCUGAUGAUUCAAGGACUCUUCAACCCCCCAGAGGCAAGCUGGCUUUAGU
Molecule: long non-coding RNA, 290 nt
Filed under: Fukomys damarensis (Damara mole-rat)
Lineage: Eukaryota; Metazoa; Chordata; Mammalia; Rodentia; Bathyergidae
Description: lncRNA (ENSFDAG00000027873.1)
Source: RNAcentral